AAAUCACAACUCGAAUUCGUACAAGUUACAUGAGUUUAAAAGUAGGACCAGUAUGUUUUUUGUAUAAUAGAUUAAUGCCGUCUACUAAGUUACAUGAAAUGGAAAACAGGGAAUCAUGUUACAAUAUAUUAUGCAACCAACCAAACUUUUACAAUUCUCUUCUAUUUGAGUUCCAUCAGCUUUUCUUCUUAAUUUCUGUCCCUGUUAAUUUCAGUAACUGCAACCAAAGAUGGGUGAAUGAUACGCCGCAAACCUCACCACAAUCCUCAUCUUUCUUGCUAGGCAAAAAGCUAACAUUCCUUCCUUCAACCUUUAGCCAAAAAACUGCAGAAAAUUAUACUAAUUGUUAAAAUAUAUCUCAAUGACAGUCUCAGGAUCAAGAUAUUACAAUUCGAGCUACGUGCAAAAGCCCGAAUUACAGUGACAUUAUCUCAGUACUGUUGAGUUUUUCCUACUUCCUGCUAAUUUUUUGAAAAGUUUAAAGAAAAAAAAUUUCAUUAUAUGUAUACUUCACCUUAGAGAGUUAUGUUGAAUAUAUGUUUUUCGUUUUUGUGUAGCAUAACUUUGUCCUUAAAGGUUUUUGAUAAUCCGUUAUUUGAAAGUAAACAACUAGACUUUAUUGUCUCAUCAAAAUUUAGGUUUUUCGAGGAAAUUUUAAGGUAUGGAAAAGGAAGAAACGAAUGAACAGAUUAUCACAUGUAUUUCUCCGUCUCAAAUUAUCUGUCAUGGUUUUUAAAAAUAGUUAUCUCAAAUUAUUUGUGAUAUUAGAAGUUCAAAAGUAAAUUAAUUAUUGUUUCCUAUUCUAUCCUUAAUAUUAAUUGUUUUGAAGACUACAAAUAUAAAUGAAGAAAGAUUAUAUCUUAGGACAUAAAUAAUGAUAAAAUAAUCAAGAAAACCUUUUCUAUUUAAUAUUUUCUUAAGGGACGUAUAAAAGAGAAACACAGAUAAUUUGAGACGGAACGAGUACAUAAUUUGAGACGGAACGAGUACGACUUAUACAUCUGACCUCGAAAAAACAAAAGUUCAAGAGAAGAGUGUAAGGACUUACAAAAUCCAACCAUUGUGAGAACGAGAAAAAAGGACAAAGGUUUUGAAGCCAUAUCAAAAUGCUUUGCUUUUUGUGGUGGAUAAUUAGCAAAGGAAAAGGAAUUGGAGUAGGUAUUUGAUUAUAUUG
This 1174-nucleotide long non-coding RNA is filed under the name Nicotiana tabacum (common tobacco). Its description in RNAcentral is "long non-coding RNA (NTAB_LNC017836)". The record is from RNAcentral. Lineage: Eukaryota; Viridiplantae; Streptophyta; Magnoliopsida; Solanales; Solanaceae.